UACGAAGGGGGCUAGCGUUGUUCGGAAUUACUGGGCGUAAAGCGCGCGCAGGCGGUCUUCCAAGUCAGUGGUGAAAGCCCGGAGCUCAACUCCGGAACUGCCAUUGAGACUGUAAGACUUGAGGAUGAGAGAGGUGAGUGGAAUUCCCAGUGUAGAGGUGAAAUUCGUAGAUAUUGGGAAGAACACCGGUGGCGAAGGCGGCUCACUGGCUCAUUUCUGACGCUCAGGCGCGACAGCGUGGGGAUCAAACAGG
This 253-nucleotide ribosomal RNA is filed under the name uncultured bacterium. RNAcentral's name for it is "partial 16S ribosomal RNA". It matches the Rfam family "Bacterial small subunit ribosomal RNA", at positions 524 to 776 of the family's 1533-position model. The record is from RNAcentral.